GAUCUGCCUGCCAUGGCGAUGGCGAUGGCAAUGGGGAUUGCUACCCCAAUCAAGUGCAAGGUCACACCUAUAAUCAAUAACAACUACAACUACAACAAUCACCACCAUGUGCUUGAUGCGUUAUAUGUGAAACGCGCCGCCGAGCUGUCUGAUAAGUCUGCCGGCUUCACAUCGCCGCAUCCUAACUUCGGUUGCGUGAUAGCAACAAGUGCAAGUGCCGGGAAAGUGGUCGGAGAAGGUUACCUUUACGGGCAAGGAACGAAGCCCGCUGAGGUUCAGGCGGUGGAGACCGCUGGAGAGUAUUGCAGAGGCGCCACUGCUUAUGUCAACAUGGAACCUGGAGACUGCGAUGGGGACCUCACCGCUUUAUCUGCUUUUAUCAAGGCAGGAAUUGCUAGAGUUGUUAUUGGCAUCAGGCAUCCAUUGCAACAUCUCCGGGGAAAAGCUGUUCAGGCAUUGAGAAGUGAAGGACUGCAGGUUGAUGUUCUUGGGGAAGAUAUUCAAAGUGUCUCCAUUGAGGAUGCUCUAAAAUCCUGUCUCCUUGUCAAUGCUCCUUUGCUAUAUAGAUCAGCUUCUCGAGUUCCAUUCUCGGUUCUGAAGUAUGCAAUGACCCUUGACGGAAAAAUAGCUGCGAGUAGUGGACAUGCAUCAUGGAUAAGUAGCAAAAAGUCAAGAUCUCGAGUUUUUGAAUUACGUGGUAGAAGUGAUGCAGUUAUUGUAGGAGGAAAUACUGUACGCAAUGAUAAUCCACGUUUAACUCCAAGACAUGGAGGUGGACAUUUGCCUAUGCGAAUUGUUAUGUCGCAAACACUUGAUCUUCCGGAGGUUGCAAAUCUUUGGGAUGUCAGAGAUGUGGCCACAAUAGUCGUCACUCAGAGAGGUGCAAGAAGGAGUUUCCAAAAAUUUCUUGCAUCUAAAGGUGUUGAAGUAGUGGAGUUUGAUAUCUUGAACCCUAAGGACGUUGUGGACUACCUUUAUGAUCGUGGUUAUCUUUCCCUCUUGUGGGAGUGUGGAGGGACAUUAUCUGCAUCAGCUAUUUCCUCUGGUGUCAUACACAAGGUGCAUGCAUUUGUUGCUCCAAAGAUAAUUGGUGGAAAGAAUGCACCUUCACCGGUUGGGGAACUUGGGAUGGUUGAAAUGACACAGGCUUUGGAAUUAAUUGAUGUUUGUUAUGAGCAGAUAGGACCUGAUGUGCUUAUUAGUGGAUAUCUGCAUCCUAUUCCUGAUUUGGUACCUGUUAUUCCAUCGGUUGACGAAACUUCAGCAAUUGAUCCAUCCUUAUCUCCUUAUGAUUCACCAAUCAUAUUCUUCUAUAAGACAUGGGACCCAUACGGUAGUUUUUCCAAUUUUUCUCCUCAUCCAAUUCGACUGCCUGAUGAAAGGGGUGAUUAUGUCACUUGGCCAAGUGUAGAGCACUAUUAUCAGGCACACAAGUUUGUGGGCUCGAGCAAUCCAAAUGCAAGAAGUUAUGUUGAAGCAAUAUAUUUGGCAAAAAGUCCUGAAGAAGCAGCACGAACAGGAAGGAAAAUACAAAGGGAACACCCAGAUAUGGUUAGGUCCGACUGGGAAAACGUGAAAACGGAGGUGAUGUACAAGGCAUUGAGAUGCAAGUUCUCAAUUUACCCACACUUGACUUCGAUGCUUCUACUGACAGCUGGCUGUGUACUCGUUGAAGCUUCUCCUCACGAUCUCUUCUGGGGUGGAGGCCGAGAUGGCGAAGGCCUCAAUUAUUUAGGACGGCUUCUCAUGAAGUUAAGAUCCGAGUUUCUAGAUGGUGACACAAAUAAGCCCGAAAUCUCUGCUGGUUUCCGUGAAUCCUAAUCAUAUACACAUUGUUGCGUACCACCUGAGGCGGGGGGUUAAUUGAUGCACACAUGUCUACCAUCUUUGUGAGCUACCACCGUAGAAUUUUGCAAUAUUUGGAUACUUGCUGGUUGCAGUUCUUAUACAUGAAAUCUUACAAAUGCAAAGAGAGCUAGGCAUUUCAUGGGUUUUCUGAAGGAAUUGGAUCUAUUUAAAUAGAAUGUUACCUAUCAGAUUUGACCAAGUGUUUGGUUAGUAGGAAAUGAAAUGUAGUCUGUCAAAUGAAUUGGAAUAUGUUUGUUUCGUUUACAAAAUCUAGCUUUAUGAAUUGAAAUGGAAUAAUAAAAAAUGGAAUUUACUGACCAUUUCAAUUCCUUCAUAUUAUGUAGGAGUCAUGUGGAUCAAUAAGCUAGCUUUUGCU
This is an RNA transcript of Cynara cardunculus var. scolymus (artichoke), 2224 nucleotides long. It is a transcript of the gene named riboflavin biosynthesis protein PYRR, chloroplastic-like, with no coding region annotated. The transcript has 10 exons. Lineage: Eukaryota; Viridiplantae; Streptophyta; Magnoliopsida; Asterales; Asteraceae. The record is from RefSeq and is a predicted model, not a curated record.